GCUAAGAAUCUUCCGCAAUGGGCGAAAGCCUGACGGAGCGACGCCGCGUGAACGAAGAAGGCCGUGAGGUUGUAAAGUUCUUUUCGGGAGGGGGAACAACCGUGGCAGGGAAUGGCCGCGGGAUGACGUGAAUCCCGGAAUAAGCCCCGGCUAACUACGUGCCAGCAGCCGCGGUAACACGUAGGGGGCGAGCGUUGUUCGGAAUCAUUGGGCGUAAAGGGCGUGCAGGCGGUCCUGCAAGUCCGGCGUGAAAGACCCCGGCCCAACCGGGGGGACGCGCUGGAAACUGCAGGGCUUGAGUACAGGAGGGGAUGCCGGAAUUCCAGGUGUAGGGGUGAAAUCUGUAGAUAUCUGGAAGAACACCAAUGGCGAAGGCAGGCAUCUGGCCAUGUACUGACGCUGAGACGCGAAGGUGCGGGGAGCAAACAGGUUUAGAAACCCUAGUAGUCC
RNAcentral lists this ribosomal RNA (450 nucleotides) under uncultured bacterium. Its description in RNAcentral is "bacterial SSU rRNA". It matches the Rfam family "Bacterial small subunit ribosomal RNA", at positions 354 to 796 of the family's 1533-position model. The record is from RNAcentral.